This 430-nucleotide ribosomal RNA is filed under the name Aeromonas sp. S202. Its description in RNAcentral is "partial 16S ribosomal RNA". It matches the Rfam family "Bacterial small subunit ribosomal RNA", at positions 618 to 1047 of the family's 1533-position model. The record is from RNAcentral. Lineage: Bacteria; Pseudomonadati; Pseudomonadota; Gammaproteobacteria; Aeromonadales; Aeromonadaceae.
GAAUUGCNUUUNAANCUGUCCAGCUAGAGUCUNGUAGANGGGGGUNGANUUCCANGUGUAGCGGUGAAAUGUGUAGNNNNNNGGAGGAAUACCGGUGGCGAAGGCGGCCCCCUGGACAAAGACUGACGCUCAGGUGCGAAAGCGUGGGGAGCAAACAGGAUUAGAUACCCUGGUAGUCCACGCCGUAAACGAUGUCGAUUUGGAGGCUGUGUCCUUGAGACGUGGCUUCCGGAGCUAACGCGUUAAAUCGACCGCCUGGGGAGUACGGCCGCAAGGUUAAAACUCAAAUGAAUUGACGGGGGCCCGCACAAGCGGUGGAGCAUGUGGUUUAAUUNGAUGCAACGCGAAGAACCUUACCUGGCCUUGACAUGUCUGGANNCCUGCAGAGAUGCGGGAGUGCCUUCGGGAAUCAGAACACAGGUGCUGCAUG